Molecule: ribosomal RNA, 250 nt
Filed under: uncultured bacterium
Lineage: Bacteria
Description: partial 16S ribosomal RNA
Rfam family: Bacterial small subunit ribosomal RNA
Source: RNAcentral
UACGUAGGGAGCGAGCGUUGUCCGGAAUUACUGGGCGUAAAGGGUGCGUAGGCGGUCAGGCAAGUCAGAUGUGAAAUCCCCGGGCUUAACUCGGGUGGUGCAUUUGAAACUGCUUGACUUGAGUGCAGGAGAGGAAAGCGGAAUUCCUAGUGUAGCGGUGAAAUGCGUAGAUAUUAGGAGGAACACCAGUGGCGAAGGCGGCUUUCUGGACUGUAACUGACGCUGAGGCACGAAAGCGUGGGGAGCAAAC